This 253-nucleotide ribosomal RNA is filed under the name uncultured bacterium. RNAcentral's name for it is "partial 16S ribosomal RNA". It matches the Rfam family "Bacterial small subunit ribosomal RNA", at positions 524 to 776 of the family's 1533-position model. The record is from RNAcentral.
UACGAAGGGGGCUAGCGUUGCUCGGAAUCACUGGGCGUAAAGGGUGCGUAGGCGGGUCUUUAAGUCAGGGGUGAAAUCCUGGAGCUCAACUCCAGAACUGCCUUUGAUACUGAGGAUCUUGAGUACGGGAGAGGUGAGUGGAACUGCGAGUGUAGAGGUGAAAUUCGUAGAUAUUCGCAAGAACACCAGUGGCGAAGGCGGCUCACUGGCCCGUUACUGACGCUGAGGCACGAAAGCGUGGGGAGCAGACAGG